AGCUUGGGAGGGUGGAGAUGAGCAGGGACGAAAAGCUGAGGCGCUCCCGCUACUGGGGUGUUCCCAGGACAAGCUGAUGGAUGGGCAUGCUCAUCCUUCUCUACGACAGGCACAGAAAAUGUGAGCAGAGUGCCCACCGGCUUUCCUUUGGAGGUGGCAGGGGUGAAACGCCCUGCCCGGAUUUCUCUGGCACAAGAAAUGGUCCUUAGCCACACUGGCAUGGAGACCAGAGAGGAAGGGAGGAGUGAAGAGAGCUCUGAAGUCGUUUCAAUCUCCGUGUGGCCGGGAGCUCUUGCCAGCAGGCUCACCUCUAAGCCGACACCACCACUGUCUGGCAACCUCCAUCCAUGAGCUGCAGCCCCGGCCACCUCUCAGUUCCUGCCUACCACAGUGGUGUGCACCUAUGAGUGAUGUUGCUACAUGGUUUUCAGCCAUGCUUUCCUGGAGGUGACAUCUCAGGCUAGGAGGGCAGCAGCCUGUCCCCAAGGUUUGAGGGGAAGCCCAGCGGUCAGCUCAGGGGGCCUCAGAAGCAGCCCUUGGAGAUAGCCACAGACCCAUGAGGUGGGUGACAGGUGCCGUUGAACUGGGACCAGCCAGGCAAGCAGCCGGAGCCAUGAUAGGUCAGGAGGAAGAGCAGGCAUGACCAGGGCUGGCGGGAGGGGAGGAGGCUGCAUGGAGGAGGUAGGUCUACACAUUGGAGGAGGAAGCAAAGAGGAAGUGGCCACCGGGAGGGAGGAAGAGUACCCUGGAGGAAGAAGGAGGAGUUGGCCGGCCUGUAAUCCCAGCACUUUGGGAGGCCAAGGCAGGCGGAUCACGAGGUCAAGAGAUCGAGACCAUCCUGGCCAACAUGGUGAAACCCCGUCUCUACUAAAAAAUACAAAAAAUUAGCUGGGUUGGUGGCGCACGCCUGUGGUCCCAGCUACUCGGGAGGCUGAAGCAGGAGAAUCACUUGAAUCCGGGAGGUGGAGGUUGCAGUGAGCCGAGAUCAUGCCACUGCACUCCAGCCUGGCAACAGAGCAAGACUGCAUCUCAAAAAAAAAAGAAGGAGGAGUCAGGGCAAGAGUGCCUGCACCUUCCUGAGAAGCAUCGGAGCCCAGGGCUGGGGCAGGGAAGGUACCAGAUGUGGCUGGAGCAUCAAGUAGGGCCAGAAAGUCAGGACGAGCUCAAAAAAGAGGGGACUGUGGAGAAGAUGUGGGAGCCAGCUGGAAGUAACUCCCAGGAGUCAAAACUGGAACAGUCCAGCAACACAUCCAGGUACAUUAUACUAUUGGGUUUUAGCUCAUCAAAUAAAAUAAAUAUCCAUUAAUCCAUACUGAUAUAAAUAACUGAUUGCAUAAGUAAAUGGGGAAGAAGGGACCAUUUUUCCUUCGAGAGGAGUUCCCUUUAAUGAAAGUGGAAGGAACCAGGGAAACAGCAAAUCACCAUCUGAACACCACAGGAACAACUGCUGCAGGCAAGACCCACCGAUGGAUGCUCGGACUCGUAGGAGAAAGUUUAAGGAGAAACAAGAGUUGCACAGAUGCAAAGCAUUUCCCCCAAUACCUAUCAAUUACAAAGGGGAAAAUAAUAACUUUAUAAUGGAGAAAGCUGGCAAACACCACUGUAACCAAUAGGUCAAGGUCAGUGUUACCAGUAAUAAGCCACACUGACAUCAUGUACUUCCUGAUAUGAUGCACUGAGAAUGACACAUCAUCACUCCUGGGGUAGUUUUUCCAAUAAUGCAUAACCUCAAUCUAAUUAUGAGAAAAUAUCAGACCCAAAUUGAGCAACAUAUUGCACAAUACCUGACCAGGACUGUUCACAGAUAUCAAGGUCAUGAAAGACAAAGAAAGGCCGAGGAACUGACGACUAAAGGCAAUGUGAGACCUGGAAAUGAGAAAGAACAUUGAUCAGGGAUCAGCAAACUACAGUCUAUGGGCCAACUCUGGCCCUCUGCCAGCUCUUGUAAAUAAAGUUUUAUUGGAAUUCAGCCAUGCUCAUUUGUCUUUCUGUCUUUCUUUCUUUCUUUCUUUUUCUUUCUUUCUUUCUCUUUCAUCUUUCUCUUUUUUCUCUUUCCUUUCUUCCUUUUUUCUUUCCUUUCCUUCCUUUCUUUCUUUCUUUCUGACAGAGCCUCACUCUGUCACCUAGGCUGGAGUGCACUGGUGCAAUCACAGCUCACUGUAGCCUUGACCUCCCUGGCUCAAGUGAUCCUCCUGCCUCAGCGUCACAA
This 2209-nucleotide long non-coding RNA is filed under the name Homo sapiens (human). RNAcentral describes it as "HSALNT0238009". The record is from RNAcentral. Lineage: Eukaryota; Metazoa; Chordata; Mammalia; Primates; Hominidae.